UUGUUGCUCAUUAGCUUUUAGAGUUGGUUCCAGAUGUCAAACAGAAACUAUUGCUGCUAUUUGGACUGCAAAGAUCUAUGUGGUUCGAUGUAACCAGACACACUCAUAGAGUUUCUCUUUAAUGUUACUAACAGCUGCAUUUGGAGCGGUCCUGCAUGUGGUUUCAACCUCACUGCUUGGCAUUGCUGCAAUUACCAUGGCCACUACAAUUGCUGGUGAGGAAACAGUGCAUAGGCUUGCAUCCUUGCUUCUCAUAAUUCUUGAAGGAAGUUAUGUUCUGCUAUUCUUAUUUGGUAAGGGAGGCCACAGUCCCUCCCACAACCAUCCUUUGGAGAACAUGGCUGUGGCUGGACUUAUUCUUGUACCAGCAUUAUCUCCUUGUGCAACAACACUUCCUGUUUUCCUUACUGUUGGCAACUCCUCAUCUAUGAUGGUGCUAGCUAUUGUUGUGCUUCUAUUCAAGUAUGCCUCUAUAUGUACUUUGGUUUUGUAAAAGGAACAUGAUGAAAUGAAUUGGGUGCAUUUCAGAAGAUAUGCCUCUACAUGUACCACCAGCAGAGUUUUACUCUAGUUUGAGCUCUAGAGCUUGAGCUUAGAACUUAGGACUUGGGAGUGAGAACUUACCUAAAGGAUCUCUUGGCUCUCUAUUUAUAGAGGAGCUGAUGAGACCAUUAGAGAGUUUGUUAGGCCAUUGAAAGAGUUUGUUAGACCGUUAAAGACCAGCUGUAAGUGAGCUAGAGCAUAAAUGUAUAUAUUAGCUGGAAAUGAAGUCAUACUUAGCUGUAUGUGCCAGCUAGGAAUGAGCUAUAGUAUGGCUGUAUGUGAGAUCAUGGCCAACUGUGGCUUAGUUGUAAAAAUUAUGGUGGGCUCUCGUAGAAUGACUGCUGCCACUAAUGUUAUGGUUCACCUCGAUAAAAGACCGAGGUAAGAUCAAGUAUCAUAUAAGACUCCGAACAUUUCGGAUAUAUGAAACACUUUGCUUCAGAUUAGUAUUUAUAUAAGUUGAAAUGAGUCAGACCAAUAUUUAUAUGAGCUAAUCAUAAUACUUCACCAGAAGUCAAUUUAGGUAGCUCAGGUCGGUGUUUAGAUAAGCUGAGUUAAGCCAGAUCAGCAUUCAGUCUCUAAUUUAGGUCGGCAUUCAGCCUCCAAUUCAGGUUGGCUUUAUAUGAACUCAACCUCCAAUUUAGGAUGGCUUUCUUAUGAACUCAGCAUCUGGUUCAAGUCGGCUUUCUUAUGAGCUCGGUUUUUGAUUCAGAUCGUUUUUCUUAUGAUCUGAGGUGGGAUAACCCCCACAACAGAUCUGGUUGUUUAGUGGUUCUUAUUAAGAGACGGGAAUGUAAAUAGAAAACAUCAUAUUGUUGCUCAUUAGCUUUUAGAGUUAGUUCUAGAUGUCAAACAAAAACUAUUGCUGCUAUUUGGACUGCAAAGAUCUAUGUGGUUCCAUUGUUGCGGCUAACCAGGCACACUCACAGAGUUUCUUUUUAAUUUUACUAACAGCUGUAUUUGGAGUGGUCCUGCAUGUGGUUUCAACCUCACUGCUUGGCAUUGCUGCAAUUACCAUGGCCACUACAAUUGCU
This 1577-nucleotide long non-coding RNA is filed under the name Elaeis guineensis (African oil palm). RNAcentral's name for it is "long non-coding RNA (EGUI_LNC035236)". Lineage: Eukaryota; Viridiplantae; Streptophyta; Magnoliopsida; Arecales; Arecaceae. The record is from RNAcentral.